UUGCAAUGAUGUGAAGAAUAUUUGCUAUCUGAUGGAAAAACUGAUUACUAUACCUUUGACUACCAUCAAGAUCUCUGAGCUU
Molecule: small nucleolar RNA, 82 nt
Organism: Lineus longissimus
Lineage: Eukaryota; Metazoa; Nemertea; Pilidiophora; Heteronemertea; Lineidae
Product: small nucleolar RNA SNORD24
Exons: 1
Source: RefSeq, a predicted model, not a curated record